CCCAUCCCUGGAGGCGCUCAAGGCCAGGUUGGAUGGGGCCCUGGGCAGCUGAGCUGCUGGGGGGCAGCUCUGCCCAUGGCAUGGGGUUGGAAUGGGUAGGCUUUGAGGUCCCUUCCAACCUAAACCAUUGCAUGAUUCUAUGGUCUCUGUUAUUUAACCUUCAUGCAAGAGCCCCAGACAUCCGUGGGCUGUCAAGCAGUGGCUUCUUCUGGAAAUGAAAGACUAGCUCAUACUUGUCCAGUGUGAUCUAGGACCCUCCACACAAUUUAGGUAGAGACCUCUUCACUCAACAAAUGGGACUCUUGCUUCUGACAAGUUUGCAUUUGGUCCCUUCUAAUACUGUUAUUGACUGCCCUUUGAUGUUACUCACAAUAUUUGGAAAGUCAACGUUUGUGUUCCUGCUCCUUUGCUCUUUUUGAAACUGAAAAAUACUUCACUACUCUUGUGUAUGGGAACUGUUGAGUCACGGCCUGAACCACUGAUUGAUCACCUGAAGCAAGGACUGGGUCAGCCAUGGGAGCACAGGUGAAGGCAAUUCAGCCGUGUGACCAGAAGGGGUGGAGCCUGGCCGCACCUCUCCUACACCCCAUUUAAGGGCUGACUGCCACUAGGGAAGGAUCUUUUUCUGGAGAUCCCUCCCUUUUGGAGUUUUCCAUUGUGAGCCUGGAUCCUCAGGUACAGGAGAGUGUUUCUUCCUUGCUUGUUUCUUUUUUACCACAAUAACGUUUCCAACUAUAACACCCUUAAAAUUCUAUCCUAACCACGCUACUCUUCCAGCUGUACAUUCUGCAAAAUGACACUUCAAAUGCCCUUCAGUGAUAUUUUGCAGGAGUUCUGUGAGUCCUCUUGCUUUUUUCAGGGCCCUUAUGCUUAUUUUUAUGAUAAUUUUGCUUCCACUUUAUGACAUCAGGCUGAAUCCAGCUAAGGUGAGUGCAUGUGUGUUUCUGUUUGCCUGAGAACAACAUCUUUUGACAGCUUCACCAAAUUCUUUAAUCGCACCUACCUACUGUGCUCCUGUGUGUCAGCUCAGCCUGUAUCCUCUAUGGGGAGCACCUCACCUGCCUUCACCCCUCGAAACCUUCCAUGCUCUCUGAGCAUCAGGAGAGCAUCCCUUCACCUAGAGCCUUCACUGUAAUGGAAGAAAUGGCAGCUUGAAUACCAGGUCAGUUCUCACCCACGCACAAUUCCUCUGGGUUUUGGGAAAUUCCCAGAACAGAGACAGCAUCAAUACUCCUGGUUUAAAGACUUCCUAACCUAUCCUUUCCUAACCUAACCUGACAGCUGCCAACAACUGUAAUUCCCAACUGCAAGAAGACCAGUGCUGGUUUCUAGCCUUUAAUUGUUUUCUGACAAUGAGACAUCUAUACUAAUCAUGUGUGUCAUUUUCCUCUCUUACCCCUUAUAAAUGAAGAAUAACAUAAAGUAUUUAAUUGGACACAGUGGCAAAACCCAGAGGGGCCAUAGUCUCAAUGUAGGGCUGUCAUUUCUAAGGUAGUGUUGAAAAGGGUGAUGCUGAUGCUUGGGCCUGAGCAGGGCCUGUCCUCACCUGAUCCUCAGCUGCAAAGACUGUUCCUGCUAUCGGCAGCUAAGGAAAACUGUGCUGUUUCAGUGGAAAUGCCACUGAAGGCAGCUCAGAUAGCACAGUAGAGGACAGGCUAUCAGCAAAUCAUAGAAUCAUUAAGGUUAAAAAGACUGCUAGGACCAUCAAGUCCAACUGUCAGACCAUCACACCAUGCCCACUAACCAUGUCCCUCAGUACCACAUCCACAUGGUUCUUGAGCACCUGCAGGGAUGGUAACUCCAUCACCUUGGGCAGCCUAUGCCACUGCUUCACUCUUUCUGAGAAGAAAUUUUCUCUAAUAUCGUACGUGAAUCUCCCCUGGUGCUACUUAAGGCCAUUUCCUCUCAUCCUAUCGCUGUUACCUGGGAGAAGAGGCUGACCCCCACUUUGCCACAACCUCCUUUCAGGUAGUUGUAAAGUCUCCCCUGAGCCUCCUCGUCUCCAUGCUGUACAGUCCCUGCUCCCUCAGCAGCUUCUAGGAAGAAGACAUCAGCUAGGUUUAGCAAAUAUUUCAGCAGUAUUUUGAAGUUCCAAUGAAAACAGAGAAAGACUUUGAUGUCUACACAAUCUCUACUCCACCGUAUACUUCACCCCAUUCUUUUCAGUGGUGUUUAAUUAGAGUUCCCUGAGGCCAGACAGAUGUGAGAAGCAAAAUCGUGGGCCUAUAGAAAAAAAGAAAAGACAGAGUAGGUAAAAUACCAGGAUGUAAUGAACAAUAUAUUAAAUUAUUAUUAUUUUACUAUUCAUUUAUUUUAGCAUGAAGAUAUACCUUGCACCGUGAUCCAUGUGAGAGAAGUAACCAGAUAUUUUUUGGCUGCCAGCUUGGAAGUCCCUGCUGUCACUGAAGCAAUACUGAUAAGUCUUCUGGCAGGAAUUUUCUAUAUUGGUUUCCCUAACAAUUUUUUUUUCAACGAAAUUAUUGCUUCUUGUGUUUUGUGGAUAUUUUCCAUGCAUUCAUGACUCCAGGGAAAAUUCCUAUCCAUCAAGCCCAUUCAGUGUGCUACUGUAUUUUCCUUCUUUGUGUUUUGUUUCCCAAACAUAAACACUAAUAACAACUUCUGGGACUCAAAGGAAGGCUCCUAAGUUUUGUUUCAAAAUAGCAAGGAAAAAAAAUAAAAGCCAGAGUGCACUGACACAAAUUUGGGGUUUCUGUUUUAUCUAUGGGGGUGUUUGAAGGGGAGAAUGGUGGAUCUACAAAAGUUUGAUUCCAGCAGAUCUCUAACCUGUUUUGCUCUCUUGCUUUAAGUCUUUUUUCCCUUCUUCUUCCUUCCCCAUUCUUACUAAUACUGUUCUCUUUACAUGAGUAGCUUUUAUCAUUUUUCCUUUUCAACCAUUUAAUUGUUUUUUAAUUUCCUUUCUCCUUCUGUCGUUCCUUUUUAAUUCCGUUUUACCUUCCCAUCCUCUUCUCUUUUCCUUUUUCUCCUAGCUCUGCCCUUCUCUGUGGGAGCUGACACUUAUCCCCAAAUUAGUGCGAUAACACAGGAAAAAACCUUGUUUUCAGAAGCUCCCAUCAGUCUCAGGACAGGCAGUGCACUGGGCUAACGCCUUACUAAAUAUAACCCUUUUGUUUGGCAUAAGAUGGCUCACCCUGGUUCAGUGGAAUGGCUUUGUUUUAGGUGUAGAUAGUACAUCAGGGCUGCCUGGCAGGUGCAUCUUGCAGUCAGUGUCACCAAGCAAUAAAUUCUGUAAUUACAGGUCAUGGAGGUGGAGUUCUCCUUUGAUGUGACUUUUUUUGUUGUUGUUGCAAGCGGAUACAAUUUGCCUGAGAUAUCAAAUGCAGAUAGCAGUAAAAAUUUAAUUAACAAAUCAAAGCUUUUAUCUGGGGUUCUAAGAACUCAAGCCAACAGGUUUUUUCAAUUUAAAGACAUCACAGACAGAAGGACGAAGGCAGUGACUUUGUAGUAUAUUCAGCUUACAACCUUUUUAGUGAUGCUUGCAAAGAUAAAACUUUUUUAGCUGUUGCUUUUCAGUCUGGAGAAGCUUUUAGGUCUUCCUCAAAAGCAAGUAUGUUGUUCAUUGCCUGCCUUAUUUUCAUAAUUCUAACUUCACCGUGAGCACACAUUUCUCUCAUGGCUCUGCGGAUUACUUAUCAGGAGAAUGUGAGGAGCAGUCAGGCUCCACGUUCUUGCUGGUUAAUUCCACUUGCAGUGAACCACUUGCUCAUGAUAUCAAUUGGCCUAAACUGUGGGCAUGAUAUUUCUUCCAUGAUUCGCUUAUCUCCUUAAGAAUGAAAGCCUGGUGGAAAACUUGUCUCUUGGCUUCUUCAUAUGCAUAUGGGGAAGUUACUGUUUUCCUUUGGUGCUUUCCUAUCGUGCAGUCAUGAUUGAAAUAGCCAGGUCCAGAAACUGAGUGUCUGAGUCACAUUGCUCAUUCUGCUGGUAACUCCUGGGAGUUGGGGGAGCAGCAGUCUGCCCCUGUGUGUUGUGUGUGUGUACCUACUACUUACUGUCUAUGUACUGAACAUCAGGCAAAUGUGCAAGGAAAUCUUUUAAAAAUCCACAUACCCAGUGCCACUUUUGCUGGAAGCCACUUCUCAGAGCACCCCACGUUACAGCCAACUACGACCUCUGGGUGGAAGGAUGACAAGUGGAGGCAGCGCUCUCAAUAAAUGCAACUCUCUUGCAUUCAUGGGUCAGCUGCUCCUUGGAAUUUAUUUCUGGGGAUGUUUAGAAACCAAAAUUAUAAAAUCCUGCAGAAAAGAUUAAAAGAGAGCGCUGUAACAACAACAACAAAAAUCUCAGAAGUUCACCAUAAUGUUAUGUACUUGACUUUCCAAGACUGAUAAAUGCUUCAGAUGAAAGUACACUGUGUUGCAGGCAACACCGACUGCCUUUCUGUGGGGUCUGUGAAGGUACGUUGUCACAUUCGCCCUACCUAUGUGUUUGUUCAUCUGGGAUUAGCCCAAGCGUCUCUGCAAGUGUGCACACAAAGAUCUUAGUUCAGGAAAUAUAUACCACUAUUGAAUAGCACUUAGGAAAGCCUUAAGUACAGGAGCACUUAAUCAUGGUCUUAAGGACCUUCCUGAAAUGAAGCCAGAGAACCUGAGUCAAAGACCUUGGGAGUCAACACAACGCUGUGAACUUGUGCUUAUGUGUAUUUAGAGGUGCGGGUCCUGAAUUUAAAUGUACAACUUCUGAUUUCUGAGCUGACUGCUCAAACAGCUGAAUGGGAUGACUGAAAUAAAAUCCUCUUGAGCGUGGAUGAAGUGGGCAAAGACUCCUAGUGAACUUGUAGUACGGAGUAUUUAUAGUACAGUUACCCAUUAAUAAAGUAUAAAUUGUCAAGCAAUUGCUGUUGCAAAAGCAUCAAAAUCUCUCCAGAGCUGUAGCAGGCAUAAAAAAAAAAAGAAAGAAAAAAAGAUUGGCCAUUCUUGUGUUUAAAGUAUGCAAAUUAACUUCUUGACAUUUGUGUUACUAAUUUUAAUGCUUUGAUGGAAGAACUCUGUUACCAUAAAAGCCCCAGACAUCACCUCACAGGGCUAAGAAAAAAGGAGGAAAGAGUUCAAAGUGAAUAAUUACCUGUUGAUGAUGUAUUAUAUUUAAAGACUCUGGCUGUGGAUUAAAGCUAGUUCUCAGGUUGUUAAUAGCCUGCAGUAAACAACUAAUGAAUCAAAGAAAAGGAGGAAAAGCAGCUAUAGACGAAGGGCAUUCUCAUUAAUACCAAAGGCCAGAGUUGAAGUGUCAAAUGUAACACAAUAAAAUACAGUCAUUUCACACCAGAGUGUGUAAGAAUUCAGGAAAAUAGUCACAGGUGAAUUAUUAAGGGCUUGUCAUUUAAGCUUUGUUCUCCUAGCACUUUGAUGCCAUGCACACUACCAGGUUUUCCACCCCUCUGGUUUUUUUCUGUAGUUCAGCUGCGACUUUUAUGUGGUGUAAGAAGGAGAACAGAUUUGGAUAUCAAGAGCUGUACCUACAGCAGUGGCGACUAACCUUACUGUGGAAAGAGUAGGACUCCGGAGAGGACAAAAAAAGCUGGAAGGAGGAGGCAUGGAGCAGAAAAUGGUGAGAAAACAGUUGAAAACAGUGCAGGAUAAACUGGGUAUCUACAGGGAUCUUUCUGGCUUUGAACUACUGAGAAUUUUGAUAAAACACAAAAACAAGUGAUUCACGUGGGUGUGGUGGGGAAUUAUUUCAACAUACUUCAGCUAAAUAGACGUCAGCAGUGCUUCUAUCUGUGGUCCUUCAGUCCUGCCCCAUUCUCUUCUCACCAGAGCAACACCUUUUAGCAACUGGCAGUUCUCACCAGAGCGUAGGGCCCUUUUUUUGUACAAAAGCUCAAUUCUCAGAAGCAUUAAAAGAGGGAACGUAGCUUUUAUUUAGUGUGGGGGAGCCGAGAUUUUUUGUGAGUCCUGAACUUUUCAGGGGGAUGCACCUCUUCUCUUUGAAAGUUAUUUUAGGAUAAAUAUAACACUGUGAAAAUGCCAUCUAUCAGUUUGGUAUGUAUGGCACAGCGUUCUCUGAUUUUUCACCUCUUGUCAGACCUUGACUUUUAAGACUGCUAGAUCUUCUCAGGGUUCACAGAUGGGGUGUAAGAGCUGACUGAAAGUAAGGGAAAACAAAGUGUGGAAGAUAUAUUUCCACUGAAAAGUUGGUAGGUGUUCCAAAGAGAGCAGUUAUUUUUAAGGUGUAAGAAUCAAUAUAUUCCAAGAAAUAAACCAUUAUGUUCAACAAAUGAUCUACAGAUAAUCAUCUUUUCACACAUUGUGGUGAGUUAGGCUAAAAGCACACCUUUCUCAGGUAAGUUGUAAAAGAAAGCCAGCUAAUCAGCAGCCUUUACAUCCAGUCUGUGGUGUGUCUGAAGCAUAAGCUUUAAGUUAAGAACAGCAGACAUUUGCAUACAGUUCAUUUAAAGGAAGAGUGCUUGCAGUGACAAAACACAUGCCAUUAGCCUUGCUCCACAGAAGCAAGGUCAAAGGUUCAAGAUCUGUGUGGGAAAAGUAAUGGCAGGAGCAUGGAGCCACACCAGGAGCAUCACCCCCAGCAGGAAGAAAGGCACAUGUGGGGAGCUUAAUUGCAAAAUGCCAUCUCAUAGGAAGGUUAUGCAGAAGAAAAGUAGGUUACCAUGUUACCACUCAGCAUGAAUGCACCAAGGGGAAAUCAUGCUCUCCCAAACUGGUAGCCUUCUCUGAUGUCAUGACUGCUUGGGUAGAUGAAGGGAGAGCAAUGGAUAUUGUUUACCUUGACUUCGGCAAGGCUUUUGACACUGUUUCCCACAACAUCCUUAUAGGUAAGCUUAGGAAGGAUGGGAUAGAUGAGUGGGCAGUGAGGCGGAUUGAGAACUGGCUGACUGGCAGAGCUCAGAGUGUUGCAAUCAGCAACACAGAGUCUGGUUGGAGGCCUGUAACUACUGGUGUUCCCCAGGGGUUGGUGCUAGAUCCAGUCUUGUUUAACAUCUUCAUCAGUGACCUGGAUGAAGGGAUAGAGUCCACCCUCAGCAAAUUUGCUGAUGAUACACAGCUGGGAGAAGUGGCUGACACACCAGAAGGCUGUGCUGCCAUUCAGUAAGACCAAAUAGGUUUGAGAACUGAGUGGAGAGGAACCUGAUGAAGUUCAACAAGGGCAAGUGUAGAGUCCUACACCUGGGGAGGAAUAACUAUAUGCAUCAGUACAGGUUAGGGGCUGACUUGAUGGAGAGGAGCUCUGAAGAGAAGGACGUGGGCGUUCUGAUGGAUGACAGGUUGGCCAUGAGCCAGCAGUGUGCCUUUGUGGCCAAGAAGGCCAACGAUAUCCUGGGGUGCAUUGAAAAGAGUGAGGCCAGCAGGUCGAGAGAGGUUAUCCUCCCUCUAUGCUCUCCCCUAGUAAGGCCACAUAUGGAGUGGCCCUGGAGAGAUGCAGGCAGCCUGAGCUGCUGAACACGGAGAGCCUGAACAAUGUACAUGGACUAUAAACCAAACUUUUGGAUCUUUAAUGUUGAAUGAGGUAAAUCCCAAUCAUAAUCCUCAGCACUUUCGAUAGACGUUUGUCAUUAUUUCCAUAUCCACAAUUUCUCCAACACUUGAAAUAUACGCUUCCCGUCCUGAUAAGUGACAGUGCUCACCCCCCCAUCUGUUUCCUCUACUAUGGUGCUAAUCCUGUCUCCAAGCUAUGUGCUUUCUACAGUGGGUUUCCCAUAGCAGAUACUUGGCUGUGUUGUUGGGUUCUGAUAAAUGAAAUAUCACUGAAAAGCUUUGUUAGGCCAAAUGAGAAACAUAAUAAACAAAGAAGUGUGAUGGUCUCUGUUCCAGAGCAGCUGAAGUGUCCUAGGCAUUCCAGCAGCUCACCCUCAAAUCACCAUCUUGAUAAUGGCUGGGCUAUGUAUUCUGCAAGUGUGAUCUUUGCAUCAGUGAAAAUUAAAUGGGAGAGAGGGAGUCCAAAGAAUAGAUGAGUGGUUCAUCUGCAUUCCCUGGAUAUUGGACAUGUCUAUUCAAAGGAUCAAGGGUUAGAGCAUGGCUUUGCUGGAAACAAGCGGGCAGAAGUUAGUGGCCAGAGCAUUUCCUGCACUGCCUACUAUCUUGCUGUGCUUUUUGGAGAAGGCAAGGGAGCCACAGGACUGCACAGCCCCUGUCUUAUCUCUAUUAGUAUGGUGUCCAUCUACACUGGCAUGUAUAUGUUGAGGGGAUAGUGAGGCAGAUAAUUCAAAUGUUCCUCCUCACGUCUUUUUCAUUUCAGACAGGCAGCACAUGUGUAUGUAAAACAAACAAGCAACAACAACAACAAAAAAAACCAACAACCAAAACUAUCUGUUUGGGGCAAUUUGGUGAGCCAUAAACUGGCUGCUUCCAUGUCCUGCGCUACCCUUGCUCUCCACAGUUCUUACUGCUUGCUCUGGGGAAUGCAUCUUGUGGAAUCUUUUGUGAUGGACUCCCAGAUCUCUGCAAAGUCUCAGGCUGGGCUUGCCAAAGCAUGCUGCUCCAGUGCGUUAUUCGUAUUGUAGUCAAUGCCCAGAGGCCCCUCUCUACUGAGCAGUGUCUGUGGCCGGUACACAUGCAGCUGUUUGUCCUAAGGUCCAAGAUGAGCCCUCACACCACCUGCCCUGCCUCUGCAGCCCACGAUGUUCUGAGCCAUCAUUAAAGCUUAAUAUAUUCCAUUUGGCACUAGCGUGAGAAAGCUAUCUUGUUUAGGGGAAAAAAAAUUAUUAUUAAGCCCAAAGCAAAGAUGCAGGCACUUUUUGGUGAUGGUGUUGAUUAUUUGGAAAAUGUCAUUCCCAAGCUGCCUUGUUUGCCAAAUGAGAGACAUGUGUUAGUAAUAAACAGCACACAACACAGAUAUCUUCUAUAAAUGGCUGUUUCAAAACACAAUAAUAAAACAAGGGGACCAGGAAGUUCCCCAGAUCUAACACUGUACCUCUUUUAAAACUAUUGUGGCCUGCAGGCAAGACUUGUCCUCCCUUCUUCUCUUCCAUAUUGCUUUUCUUCCUCUAAAAUCUCAGACCUCUUCUCUAUUUUUCCUUGUAUAGAAUCUUAGAAGGUUUUUUUUUGUUUCUUCCAGAGACAGUUAGUUGAAAUAUAUGCCUCUUCAAACUGAUCAUUCAUGCUAGACUUAGUUGAAUGUCAGUAAUGACAUGGAAAGUUUUCCAAGGACCUGAAGGAGGAAACUGUUCUAUGAAGCUUUCACUGCUCCUAUGGACUUCUUAUUCACUUUCAUAUUUCACUGCUCCUAUGGACUUCUUAUCUCUUCACGUUAGUGACUUUGGACACAGAUAUAAAUUGCCAUAGGUUGGUAAAAGAGUCAGAGGUCUGAUACAGCUCACGUCACCACCACUUUAAUGUGAAGCCAUUAAUUCAGGUGGCAUGCUUUCUGAAGGCAUCAGUGUAGUUGGAAUAAUUAUUGGCACAUCAGCUCUUAGAGAUUUACAGCAGAAGGGUUUGAACGUGCAAAUAUUUACGCAGGUGGGCAAACCUGUAGCCUGUUGUUGCCACAAACAACAUGUUGCAUGAGGAUGUUACUUAUCUGUAGUGAUGUGGGUGAAAGCAGGAUUUUAAGAGACCUAAAUAACACUAAAUAAUGAGUGGUAAGGACAGGAUAUUGUGCAUAAGGAGAAAAGUGCUACCUGUAUGAGGCACACUUGUAAAUAGCAGAGUGGCGUUUGCUUGUUUGACACUUGAUGAUGCAAGACUAUUUAAUUGUUUGGGUGGCUGGGCUUCAUGCAGGAGACUACUAUUUCAAAUGUGGUUGGAGUAUAAUGAUGUGUAGUAACAUGUAAUGGUGGUGGUAGAAGACCAGCCUUCUGGUAACCUAGCAUCAUCUGUGAGUUAGCGAAGAGAGGAAGAGAAGGAGGUACAGAUGACUAAUGCAAAGUUACACCUUUCCUUUUUGACUGAUAGUGCCUUUCUUUCAUGUCUUACCGGACUCAUUGCUGUGGGGCAUCUGUGUAGGAGAAAAGCCAGUUCCUAUCUACUUCUGCUUUGCCUGUUCUUUCCAGUGUGACACUAGUUGCUGUGAUACACCCCCAGUAAAUAUUAGCUAACUACUGCAAUGUGUUCUGUGUGGGGUGUAGCAUAGAACAGAAGCAGAUGCAAAAUACCACAUUCCAUUUUCCAAACAACAACUGUGACCAAAUUGCUCCGUGCUUUACAUGGAGGAUCAGCCCAAAGAGCCCUAGGAUCAGCAGGAAUCUUCCCACUGACAUAAAAAUCUUUGGUUCAAGUCUUCCAAGAUAAUAGUAAGUGCUGGUUUUCCCCCAUAGUUGAGUAAGGCUUAGGAGAUGUCUCUGAAAGUCUGACCUCUGUCUUUUAUCCAGUGUGGCCAGGAAUGAGAUGAAAUCAGAGAUGAACUGGCAGAGGAGAGGUGUUGCUUCUUGGCUGGGAAUGGAGAAAAACCUUUGCUUUUUUCCUCUGUCUGAAGCAUCUCAUCCUCCAGGCUGUGGAGACUUCUCUGUCCCUUGCAUAGAAGAGGGCAAGUUAGUCCUUCCAUGUGGAGUCAGUACUUGUUGAACUGUUCUUCCAGUUCACA
Molecule: long non-coding RNA, 10491 nt
Filed under: Gallus gallus (chicken)
Lineage: Eukaryota; Metazoa; Chordata; Aves; Galliformes; Phasianidae
Description: lncRNA (ENSGALG00010002249.1)
Source: RNAcentral